This 256-nucleotide unclassified non-coding RNA is filed under the name plant metagenome. RNAcentral describes it as "partial contains small subunit ribosomal RNA, internal transcribed spacer 1, and 5.8S ribosomal RNA". The stretch from base 1 to 54 matches the Rfam family "Eukaryotic small subunit ribosomal RNA", at positions 1778 to 1831 of the family's 1831-position model. The record is from RNAcentral.
GGAAGUAAAAGUCGUAACAAGAUUUCCGUAGGUGAACCUGCGGAAGGAUCAUUAAAGUUAUAGUCCCCCGGCCCUCUGGGCUGGGGUCUUCUAUACCACCCUUUGUUUAUUACACCUUUGUUGCUUUGGCAGGCCUGCCCUCGGGCUGCUGGCUCCGGCCGGCUCGCGUCUGCCAGAGGACCUAAACUCUGUUUGUAUAUGAAGUCUGAGUACUAUAUAAUAGCUAAAACUUUCAACAACGGAUCUCUUGGUUCUG